AGCAGUCGCCACGGUAAUACGUAGAUGGCAAGCGUUGUCCGGAAUUAUUGGGCGUAAAGGGCUCGCAGGCGGUUUCUUAAGUCUGAUGUGAAAGCCCCCGGCUCAACCGGGGAGAGUCAUUGGAAACUGGGAAACUUGAGUGCAGAAGAGGAGAGUGGAAUUCCACGUGUAGCGGUGAAAUGCGUAGAGAUGUGGAGGAACACCAGUGGCGAAGGCGACUCUCUGGUCUGUAACUGACGCUGAGGAGCGAAAGCGUGGGGAGCGAACAGGAUUAGAUACCCGAGUAGUCCCUGUCUCUUAUAC
RNAcentral lists this ribosomal RNA (303 nucleotides) under uncultured bacterium. RNAcentral describes it as "partial 16S ribosomal RNA". It matches the Rfam family "Bacterial small subunit ribosomal RNA", at positions 507 to 807 of the family's 1533-position model. The record is from RNAcentral.